CAGCAGCCGCGGGAAUACGUAGGUCCCGAGCGUUAUCCGGAUUUAUUGGGCGUAAAGCGAGCGCAGGCGGUUAGAUAAGUCUGAAGUUAAAGGCUGUGGCUUAACCAUAGUACGCUUUGGAAACUGUUUAACUUGAGUGCAGAAGGGGAGAGUGGAAUUCCGUGUGUAGCGGUGAAAUGCGUAGAUAUAUGGAGGAACACCGGUGGCGAAAGCGGCUCUCUGGUCUGUAACUGACGCUGAGGCUCGAAAGCGUGGGGAGCAAACAGGAUUAGAUACCCCCGUAGUCCCUGUCUCUUAUACA
Molecule: ribosomal RNA, 301 nt
Filed under: uncultured bacterium
Lineage: Bacteria
Description: partial 16S ribosomal RNA
Rfam family: Bacterial small subunit ribosomal RNA
Source: RNAcentral